AAACUAUGCAUAGGGCAUUUGCUCAGCAAAUCUUUAAAUCGAUCCCAAUCUUCAUACCAAUUUUCAUCCUCUAAUUGCUUGAAAGAUGUGAUGUCAUUCGUCAUUCU
Small nucleolar RNA from Hibiscus syriacus, 107 nucleotides. NCBI's taxonomy places the organism in Eukaryota, Viridiplantae, Streptophyta, Magnoliopsida, Malvales, Malvaceae. The record is from RefSeq and is a predicted model, not a curated record.